GUGUAGCGCAUCUCCAGCCACACAUACGUUACCUUUACUAAUAUUUCCCCAAAGAAUUUCCCAAGGAUGCCUAUAUCUCAGUGGAGAGGAUAUAAAAGCAUCCAAUACAGUGUUUUCCAUAACAGCUCUUACUUCAUCUGGUAACUUUCCAAGCUUGGUUAACAUAUAUUGCUUCAACUGAGGAGGGUUCUUCUCUAGCUCUUUCUCUAAAGAAAAUUUGCAGAGAAAAUUAAUGAGACCUACAUAUACUGCGUUAGGUAAUAACUGCAUAAUAUGGAUGGUACAUAUAUUCAUAAGGUUUCUGAAGUUGUGUGUCAGAGUCAAAUACUAUCAAACAAUAUAUCAUUGUUCUUUGCAUGUCAUAUAUAUGUUACGAAACUGAGAGCUGAAAUACCGUAUUUAAACCAAUGAAGGAAAGGCCUGUAAGGUUACUGGUACUGGAAGCUUGAGGAGCAGUGUGGUUGGGAGAAAGGCUUACCUUGGCUGGGGGGAGACCAAGUAAAGAACCAGUAAACAUUUUUACUGUCACAAGGAACGAC
This 539-nucleotide long non-coding RNA is filed under the name Fragaria vesca (wild strawberry). RNAcentral describes it as "long non-coding RNA (FVES_LNC000777)". The record is from RNAcentral. Lineage: Eukaryota; Viridiplantae; Streptophyta; Magnoliopsida; Rosales; Rosaceae.